CCCUUAGAUGUUCUGGGCUGCACGCGCGCUACACUGAUGCGUUCAACGAGUGUAUCACCUUGCCCGAUAGGGUUGGGUAAUCUUUUGAACACGCAUCGUGAUGGGGAUAGAUUAUUGCAAUUAUUAAUCUUCAACGAGGAAUUCCUAGUAAUGAUGAAUCAUCAGUUCAUCGUGAUUACGUCCCUGCCCUUUGUACACACCGCCCGUCGCUCCUACAGAUUGAAUGGUCCGGUGAAAUCUCGGGACGGCGGCUUGGUCGCUUGCGUCCGACUGCUGAAACUUGAUUAAACCAUAUCAUUUAGAGGAAGGUGAAGUCGUAACA
Molecule: ribosomal RNA, 322 nt
Filed under: uncultured eukaryote
Lineage: Eukaryota
Description: partial 18S ribosomal RNA
Rfam family: Eukaryotic small subunit ribosomal RNA
Source: RNAcentral